This 238-nucleotide long non-coding RNA is filed under the name Volvox carteri. RNAcentral describes it as "long non-coding RNA (VCAR_LNC002860)". The record is from RNAcentral. Lineage: Eukaryota; Viridiplantae; Chlorophyta; Chlorophyceae; Chlamydomonadales; Volvocaceae.
CAGCAGCUGCUGCAGAGUAUGUGUGCUGAGUAUUCAUCCCUUUUUCCGCUCCAAGCACCGGUCGGGGGCCUUUUCGGUUCAGUCCGUCUGCGCCACGGCAUGGCUAAGACUGUCGUUUCAUACUAUACAUGCCCGUUUUCGUGCUUCCAGAAUCGUACACCGCAAGACGUGAGACGACAUGAGUUACACGCCCUCUAUUUAGGCCCGCUAUAGCUGAUUCACCUGAAAUCGACUUUUU